This 7313-nucleotide unclassified non-coding RNA is filed under the name Leishmania donovani. RNAcentral describes it as "gene:LdHU3.18.0740(CDS-product:RNA_binding_protei n_putative)". Lineage: Eukaryota; Euglenozoa; Kinetoplastea; Trypanosomatida; Trypanosomatidae. The record is from RNAcentral.
AUCUCCAGCAAAACUAGCUCCGCAUUCUCCCCUCUCUUAAGCAACGAAAAAAAGGAAAUCGCGUCUCUCCAAAAGACCAAACAACAACAAAAAGUCCCUCGACAGCUGAACAACCAAAAAAGAAGAGACGCGAAGCCUUCAUCAGCCCCAAGCACGUAUUACUAGUAGCUCACUGGUCUUUCUUUGUUGUCUCGUUGUGGUUGUGGUUGUUGUGUACCUUUGUGUGUGCGUGUGUCCCACGCCUCCCCUUUCCCCUCUCCUCUGUUAUUUUUGUACUCGUGAUCCCGUCUCUCUCCCUCACCCCUCAAACAUUAUCGUGGUCCAGACGCGUUCACUCUUUCUUUUGGCUUUCACUUAUUUGUCGCACCCAAGUAUUUCCUACAUACCCCCCCCCCCUCUCUUUUCUGGCUUCGACCACCUCUUUUGCUUUUGGUGUUGUUUUCCGUUUGUCGUCUUUCUCACUACACAUCUCCCCUCUCCCCACGCCCUUCGCAUCAGCUUGUUGCUGUUGUUGCUGCUGCUGCCCAUCACCCACCCUUCUUUUAGCCACUCCCUCUUUUCCCCAGCAUUCUCCCCCCCCCGUCUUCUCCUCGCUUCCCUACGAGCUUGCUCGGAGAAGAGUGAAGAAAGCAACAACGACAAUCCCAUAUCUUUUUUUUUUUGCUUGUCUUUCAGUUGUUUGCUUCUUGGGUUGGGAUUCUACUGUUAUCUACACCUCCCUCUACCUCCACUCCCCCCAGCUGCCUUCACACUUUUUUUGUUUCUUUCGGCCCUCCCCGCACACAUCUAGCCCUUCCCUUUCCUUUCUGUGUGUGUGUGUGUUUGUGGGGUUGUGUUUCGCCCCCCCCCCUCCCUCGUCGUUGUUAUUGUUUGCUUUCUUCGCUCAUCUUUCAUCUGAUUUGUGUGUGUGUGUGUAUGUGUGUGUAGGUUUUGACCGUUCCUUUAUUUUUUGUUUGCUUGGCUUCCUUUUCUCCCUCCCCCUCCCCGACUUUUUGUUUGACACCCUCUCUCUUCCGUCUCAUCUACCCAACCAUAUCUGCCUCUGUUUUUUUUUCCUUCUGCCGUUUUUGAUUUUUGGUCCUGUUCUGCCACCUGUGCUCUCCUCAUCCAACACACUCUUUCUCUCGCAGAUUCUUGUGUGUGUGUACGUCUGCAUCUUCCGUCUCUAGUGUUUGUCUGUGUGCCAAGGCGUUUCGGUCGUUUUCUUGUGCGUUUUUUUUUCUGCCUUGAUUUUCUUUUGUUUGUGUUGUGUGCUCCCCGUUUUUUUUUAGGUCUUACGUGUUUACAUUUCCCCUCCCCUUUUGUUGUUUUGUUUCCGGUUGUGUUGAUUCCCUCGCCCCUCUCCAUCUCUCUCGCGUGCUGUGUGUGUGUGUGGUCUCUCUGUCUUCUCAGGUUCUUUUUCUUGCUGUUGUUGUUUUCUCUGAGUCACCUUUGACUGUGCGUCAUUUCUUUUUUUUUUAUUGGUUCUUCUUUCUUCGUUGACCGACUGCCACUCCGAGAAUCAGUCGUUUGUGUGUGUGUGUGUGUGCUUCUUCCUUCACUUCCUGUUUCGUAACUUUCUGUGUCAGUGUGUCUGUGUAUUCGGACAGCAACGGAAACGAAGGGGAUUGCCUGCAAGACGAAAAAAAACGAAAAGGAGAGAAAAGGAUAUCACCGUGGCGGCAGCACGUAGGAAAAAGAAGCAAAGUCGAGCAAGCAAUAAAGGUAGUUGUUGAGUGAAACAAAAAAAAAAACAGAAAGCAUACACGUCGCGAAAACAACAGCAAAACUGAACGAGAGGGGCCAGCGGCAAUAGACAGAGAAAACGAAAAGGCACUUCAAAGCAGAGCAGGAGUGGCAGAAGAGUUGUGCGCGUGUUUGCUUAUUUUUUUCGUGUGUGUGUGUGUGUGGGUGGGUGGGUGUAUGUGAGAGAGUCCGAUUCCCUCCACGAGAAAUUCUCGCAUCUCUCUGGCCCCUCUUCUGGUGGGCUCGCUGUGGUCUCCCUCCUCUUUCUGCGUAGAAACGCCUUCCCACUCGCGUGUGGUUGCGUUUUACUUUGCUUGUCUUUCUGUCAAUUUUUUUCCUCUGUCUUACCUUUUUUCAAAGACCAAUAACGAAAAAAAAUUCUCAAAAAGCCGGGAACGACUUUGUGUGUGAGUGCGUGCGUGAGUGUUCCUUUUUUUUUACUGGGUUCUCGUCGUUUUCUUGUUUCCGCUUUUUCUGUGUGUUUCUCUCUCUCUUGGUGUGUGAGUGGGUAUCUUCUUUCGCAACGCUACUUCACCGCCUCCUCCCUCCUUCCUUGCACCCCCCCCCCUGCCUCGCCCUCGCUGCCCAUCAGCGCGCGUGUCUCUGUGUCUGAGUGAUUUUUCAUCUCCCAUUUUUUUCGCUAGUGCGCUACCCAUUUACGUGCAGUCGAAAAAAAAGUGGAGGACAGACCCAAAAGUGGCAGCGCUCGUGCUUCUCUGAUUUUCUUUGUUACUGCUUAUAUCCAUACAGACGUAUUUCCAAAGAAGAAGAUACACUCUUCCCCCCCCCUCCGCUUCUUUUGGUACUUGCAUUUCCGUCUUCCCUCUAUUGUCGCUCUUCUUCGCGUGUCUGUGUGCCCGUGUGCGUGUGUUUGUUUCUCUUUGUCUUUGCGCCGCCAUCCACCACCCCAUAUCCACCUCCGUUUGCCUGCUGUCUUUUUUUUUUUCUGUCCCUACGGGCUCGCUUGUCUCCUUGUCUGACCGAAGAAAAAAACACACGAAAAAGAAAGGAAACAGUGUCGUUGGACUGUGUGUGUGUAUGUGCAGGUGAUUCUCGCUGAGAUUGCUUCUUACAGUCGCCUAUCGGCUUGUGAACAUCUCUGUUCGUUGUUGUUGUCCAUUCUCUUCGCUCUUUCGUUUUUUUUUCGCCUUUUCGCGCCUGCUUUCGAUUCCUCCUCCUCCCUUCCUUCCUUCCUUUGUGAACGUGUGGCAAAACAAGCAACGGUACAAGAAAACAACAACCAAAAGGAAGAAGGUGCGUAUUCUCUUCUGUCUUGCCUCUUGCCUGGCUUGUGUGGAUCUCUGACGCUCUGUGCCACCCCGUUUGUGCGAUUCCCUCUUCUCUUUACUUAUUUCGUUGCUUUAUCUUCCCCUUCAUUUUGUUGUUUGUUUGUCUUCUGUUAUUUGCCUUCGCAUCGGUGCUCUGUACGUUUCUAGUUGUUGUUGACCCCCCACCACCACCACCACCUCUCUCUCGUAUUCCUUUUCUUCCCCCUUUCCGCUUUCUCCCUACCGCUACUCGUGCUAGUGUGGUGUACUCCCUUUUCUGUUCGCUUCUUUUUGUGCGUGAUUGUGUGUGGCUUUCGCUCUUUUCUGUGUUCCCUGUUGUUGUUUUCGGUGGCCACCUACGUUCUCUCGCGUCUGCUGGAGCUUCUCCUGUAGGACACACAGGCAACCAUACACGUUUACAGUAUUACGAAGUACCCUGUGUGCCGCUGUCGCCCUCAUCGUUGUUGUCUCGUGCUUUAUUUUUCCGCCUCGUGCUCACGCUCUUUUGUUAUUGUUGUUCUUUCUUGUUUUUCUUUGCUGCUCUUGGUUUUGUAUUGCCUCUUCCAACGUAGAAACAAAACAAAAAAGGGGUGAGGAGGGGGCAACAAAAAAAAAAGGCACCAAAGAAAAAAAGCAAAACACAGCAGAUCAUCCCGCCGCACUCGCGCCCACUCUCUCUGUUCUUUGGUGCUCCUCCCCCCGCCCCGCCCCGCCCCGCCCCGCCCUCCCACUUCCCUUUUUCGUUCUACCAUUCUUCCGCUUUGUUAUCUGCUGCAAGAGCAAGCAACAGAACGUACUUGUUAUAUAGAUAGAUAGAUAGUUUGCGUCCCUCUCGCGCACGCGCACUCUUUCGAUUCCUCGCGUUUAUCUGCCCCGCUGGUCUCCUUCCAUCUUUGCCUCGUCUGUGUGUGUGUGUGUGUGUGUGUGUGUGUGUCCAUUUAUUCGUUGGUUGAUUCCCUCUCGCUCUCUUUUUUUUUGUUCUGUAUCCGUCUUCGCCCUUUUCCUCUUCUACUGCAAACGUGGUCCACUCCCUUUCUGCUGGCAAGCAAGGGCACACCACCGCAGCACAGACAGAGAGGCCCAGUACAUACAAAGGGAAUGGAGCGUGCGGCCACUCAAAGCCAGAGCAUCUACUCCAACGCUAACACCAGCAGCAGCAACGCUAACACCUACGGUAACACUGUCUCCUCCUACCUGUCCAACAACAGCCCGAACGCAGUCAUGUACGGCGGUGGCAACAGCAGCAACGGUGGUGCACCUUCGUCCACCUCGGUCGCCACGGUGUACGCCUCUCCCACGCAAGCUUCGCCGAGUCAGGCGAUCCGUCAGCAGGCGCAGGGAUCCGCGCAGCAGAAUAUGAGCCAGUCGCAAACGAGCACCUCCUUCAACACCUACGGCGGCGGUGCGGCCAGCGGCUCCGGCAGUGGCUUCUUUUACUCCACUCCGUCGGCGCAGGCGCCGGGGGCGCAGCCCAUGUACUCUGCCAACGCCUCCGCCGCGGCAAUGUUCCCAAUGCGUGGUGGAUCCACCUCCAUGACGCCGGCGCAGCCCACCCCAACCCAGAUGCUGACACCUCAGGCCAACGCUGCCGCCGCGGCGGCAGCGGCAGCGGUGUGGACCAGCGCUGCGGCAAACAUCAACGCUGGCAGCAAGCUCUUCGUUGGCCAGGUGCCUGCAGUGUGCACUGAGGACCAGCUCCGCCCUCUGUUUGCGCAGUUCGGCACUCUGCUAGAGAUCAAGAUCAUGCGGGAGCCGAACGGUCGUAGCAAGGGUAGCGCGUGGGUGCGCUACGAGCUGGAGGAAUCUGCGCAGCGUGCCAUCACUGCCCUCAACGAGAAGCAUGUUGUGCCGCCACAAACGAACCCGCUUCGUGUUCAGUUUGCCGCACCCAGCACCAACCGCAUCCCGCAGCCCCUAUCGGCCCUUGGCUCCAUCAUGCCGCCUUCUGCAGUCAUGCAGCCGCAGCCGCAGCCAAGCUACGCGACCGCAGCGACUUAUGCCACCCCGCAGGGCUACGCCGGCGCCACCACAGCGUACAUGCAGGGACAGUACGCGACCUCGCCCAACCUGAUGGCUGUUCGUGCCUCUCCACAGCAGCAGGCAGCGGUGCAGUCUGCGCCUGGCAAGAUCGAAUACCUGCGCAGCAACCAGCCUGGCGGUCUUAUCUACUCCACCGCCUCCCCGACCGCUGUUGAUGCGAUGCAGCAGCAGCAGCAGCAACAGCAGCAGUCGCCACAGCAGCAGCAAGUGGUGUACACAACCGGUGGCCAGAUGCGCGCUGGUGUCAUGUACACCCCGGAUGCAUUUGCCAUGACGAACCAGAUGGCUGCCGCGCCGCAGCAGCCGCAUCAGUGGUGCAGCUAAACCGAACCAACAAUUUAUGAGACCCUCCUGUUUUGGUUUUGCUUGCCCUUUUGUCUCAUGGUUUGCCUCUUCUUCGUUACGGUGCACAGGAUACAUGCUGUAUGUGUGAAGAUACGUGUGCAUGCAUCCAUAUCUAUGUGCGGGUACGCUUUUAUUUAUUUUUGUUUUGAAUCCAAUGUGUUCCUUGCGUCUGUGAUUCUGUCUAUGUAUGUGUAAGUGUGUGUGUGUGUGUGUGUGUAUGCACGAACGUGCUUGCUUUCACGUUAUUUUGUUACUCUGUAUUGUGCGUGUGCGUGUGAAUGCGCGUGAGCUUGCCUGUCUCGUAUGACCAAUCUUCUCGGGUUUCCUUUGCAUGUUUUCUGCUCUUACUCUACUCUUGCCGUUCCUUCCUCUCUCUUCUUCACCAUCUCCGAUCGUCCUCCGUAUAGCCACUUAGUAUGCUUUGCUUGUGAGUGCGUGCAGGUGUGUCUUGGCCAGUGUAAGAGUUUCGGAUACUGAGCGGUGAAUAUGCUUGCCGCGUGGUGUGCCCCAUUUUCUUUCUUUGUGUGCGUGUGGUCUUGCGUCUUGUUCGCUUUCUUCACCAUCUGUAACGCUGUACGUUACUUCUUUGUAAACGAAAAAUCUUCCUUGAUUCUCCUCCCUCCCUUUCUCUCGUUGUCUCUCUUUCGUGCGAAUGUGACGCCCAAUGUGUUCUGUCUUGGUUCUUUUUGAUUUUUUGGUUCUGUGCGUGUGUGUGUGUCUAUGUCCGUGUGUGUGUGUAUAAGUAUGUGUGCAAGUGUGUGUGUGUGUUUCUGCCUGUGCGUGUUUGUGCAUGCGUGUGUGUAUGUAUGUGUGUGUUCGUAUGCGUGUUUUCUUUUUGUGUGCAUGUGUGUGUUUUUGUCUUUGUGUGUAUAUGUACGCCACCGUGUGUGGGAAUACAUUUCUGCGUGUGUCUCGCCCCUCGUAGUCUUCAUCGGCCUCCGACGCUGCCCCUCACGCCCCUACACGGCUUCUUAGUGCCUUCACACUACGCCUCCUCUUUUCACGUUCACGUGCCCAGCUCUGCAUCCGAAUCCAACAUACAAGCACGCGCGCACACACAUACACACAUAAGGCACACAGAGAUGCACUGUUAAGGAAAACGAUGAAGGAAAACUGAAGUCUCAAGUGCCUCCUUGCUCGUUUCUUUUCGUCCUUUAGUUUUGAUCUCCCUCAUCUCUACGUUCGACAUCUAUGCUCCUUUUCCUUUUGCUCUACUGUGGCGAGUUCCUUUCUCCUCUUUGGUUCACUCUUCAUCUCCCGUUUCUCUCUCGCUACCAUCAGCCAAAGGCAAGUGCCUGCGUACAUAGCGAAGAGGUUCAUCGCCACCCCUCCUCCCUCUCUCCCCUCAUCGCCCACGCGCGCCCUCUCUCUAGCGGCGUGUAGGAAUGUAUGCACACGUGUUGACAUGUCUCGAAGUGCCGGUGGAGCUGUCUCUCCACUCCUCUUCCCCCUCUCCAGUCCCACACCUUCCUUUCUCUUUUCCUUCGUUUUUUAAUCUCUUCGCUCCCCCUUUCCUCUUUUCUUCCCCCCCCCACCGCCACUUCCAAUCCGCUCUCUCGCUUGAAAAGCGAGGGAGACCCCCCCCCCCACAUACACACACACACACCUGCACACGCACGAGUACGGAUACUCAUGUGCUUUCAUACAUGUAUAUAUAUAUAUAUAUAUCUGCCUACUAUAUGUGCAUGUAUAUGUGUGUGUGUAUGUGUAUGCAUACAUGUAUAUACACAAAUCUAUAUAUCUAUAUAGAUAUAUAGAUAUGACAUGUUUCUGUUAUAUUGUGAACCACGUGCAUGCGUGCUUUUUUUGUCGUUUUCUGUUCGUAUGCUUUCCCUCCCUCAUUUGCUCCGUUAGUUUCCUUGGUUUUACACAGCCUCCCUCCUCCUCGCCUCUCCUCCCCCCUCUCUGUCGGUGUUUCUCUGGUUCCCACCGCCC